GACGAACGCUGGCGGCGUGCCUAAUACAUGCAAGUCGAGCGAAGUUUUUCUGGUGCUUGCACUAGAAAAACUUAGCGGCGAACGGGUGAGUAACACGUAAAGAACCUGCCUCAUAGACUGGGACAACUAUUGGAAACGAUAGCUAAUACCGGAUAACAGUAUUUCUCGCAUGAGAGAUAUUUAAAAGUUGGUUAUGCUAACACUAUGAGAUGGCUUUGCGGUGCAUUAGCUAGUUGGUGGGGUAAAGGCCCACCAAGGCGACGAUGCAUAGCCGACCUGAGAGGGUGAUCGGCCACACUGGGACUGGGACACGGCCCAGACUCCUACGGGAGGCAGCAGUAGGGAAUCUUCCGAAAUGGGCGAAAGCCUGACGGAGCAACGCCGCGUGAGUGAAGAAGGAUUUCGGUUCGUAAAGCUCUGUUGUUAGGGAAGAAUGGAUAUGUAGUAACUAUACAUGUAAGAGACGGUACCUAACCAGAAAGCCACGGCUAACUACGUG
This 499-nucleotide ribosomal RNA is filed under the name uncultured bacterium. RNAcentral describes it as "partial 16S ribosomal RNA". It matches the Rfam family "Bacterial small subunit ribosomal RNA", at positions 28 to 507 of the family's 1533-position model. The record is from RNAcentral.